GCCUAAAACAGAGAUUGACCCAAAUUUCUCCUUACUGGUGAGAGUGGGGAAAUGGACACACACACCCAUAGCAUGGUAUUCUAAUCUGUAUUUAAAAGGAACAAGGUCUACAUCUGGAAAACAACACAGGUGAACAUCAUCUGCACCACGUGGAGUGACUUUCUGUACUAUUCUGUCCAUCUCCAAUCGCAAAACCACAAGGUCAGAAGGCAGGUAUAGCAUCUGAUGGUUCUUCUCAUCACUCUGCCCACUGAAGAGCAUGCCUGGAGACAGACCCCUUGUUCAAGGUGUUAUCCUCAAUCUUCAGAGAUCAAGAAAGUCGGGACUGCUGAGGACAGUCCAUAACACACAUUAUCUUCUAGUGGCUUUAGCUUAAAUCCAAAUGCCUGAGCCUAAAGAGUAAGGUGCUCCUUACCCCUUUAGUCUUCCUCUCUAGUCUCAGCCUCACCCUCGGCCCCAGCAGCAGCUUCAGCUCCCAAAAGCCUUUGGGCCUUUCUAGGUUCCUCUUUGCCUCACCUUCCAAGUUUGAGAUUCUAGAUUCUUUGGGGUCACUGCCUCCGCCGGAAAAAAUUCUGAAUGCCACUGGAUUGUUCAUCUCUAGACUCUGGGGAAGCUGUAUCUCUCUGUCUUAAAUAGCUCAGAGACCUGCAACAUUUGUACUACUCAUGCGCAUGUGUGCACAGCAGGUAAAAAUGCAGAUCAAGUUGA
This is a long non-coding RNA of Mus musculus (house mouse), 708 nucleotides long. RefSeq annotates it as predicted gene, 30423. The transcript is spliced from 2 exons. The record is from RefSeq and is a predicted model, not a curated record. Lineage: Eukaryota; Metazoa; Chordata; Mammalia; Rodentia; Muridae.